UACGUAGGUGGCAAGCGUUGUCCGGAAUUAUUGGGCGUAAAGCGCGCGCAGGCGGUCCUUUAAGUCUGAUGUGAAAGCCCACGGCUCAACCGUGGAGGGUCAUUGGAAACUGGGGGACUUGAGUGCAGGAGAGAAGAGUGGAAUUCCACGUGUAGCGGUGAAAUGCGUAGAGAUGUGGAGGAACACCAGUGGCGAAGGCGGCUUUCUGGUCUGUAACUGACGCUGAGGCGCGAAAGCGUGGGGAGCAAACAGG
This 253-nucleotide ribosomal RNA is filed under the name uncultured bacterium. RNAcentral describes it as "partial 16S ribosomal RNA". It matches the Rfam family "Bacterial small subunit ribosomal RNA", at positions 524 to 776 of the family's 1533-position model. The record is from RNAcentral.